CACACACACAUUGCACAAUCUCUUCAUAAGAGUGUGAUCUAUCCAGCUAUAGUGUGAUGUAACCUCUCAUUUUCUCUUCCCACAUAUUAAUCUCAUCCUCUCACAUUUUCUCCAUUCUUUUACAGAUCAUGUUUUGUACGAUAUGUCUCCAGAAGAGGGUCUUCUCUGACAUGACAUUGCUAUGAUGUAUUCGGUGCUAGAUCAUGGGCCGUUGUUUUAUGGUUUGCUGGGGUCUGGAGUCUGCCUAGUCCUGGGGAUCCUUGCAGCAGCAAUUGUCUGGUUCAAGAGGCGUAAACACACAAGACCACCACAUGCCGACCAGAGUAAAAACUCUCCCUUUAUCGAUCCUGUGAGUUGUAAAGAUUGAUUGGACAACACCUAUUCUGUAUCUCUGUGUAUCUUUAUUCUAGCAGGCUGUGGAGAGUGUUGCACUCAUGGAUAAAUCAGGUGAAGAGCUCAAAGUGCUUCCUUCCUAAGGACUGAGGACUACUUGCAUGGAGAUUCAUUUUGGUCUGGAGAACGGAGUCACAUUGAGACAAUAGCCUCUUUUCCUGGCCUUUGCCAGACAACGAACAUCGCACCCUGUUUGUGACCUUUGUGAAGCCUUGUGCAGUGAACAUACAACCUCUGUGAAUGAA
This is a long non-coding RNA of Alosa alosa (allis shad), 638 nucleotides long. RefSeq lists it as uncharacterized. Lineage: Eukaryota; Metazoa; Chordata; Actinopteri; Clupeiformes; Clupeidae. The record is from RefSeq and is a predicted model, not a curated record. The transcript is spliced from 11 exons.